UCAAUUUUUUUUUUCUUUUUUAACAGAAAGAAAAGCUUGUUUGGUAGAGUGAAGCUGGGGAUGGAGAGGUAGGAAAGCACUAUCUGGGGAGGUGGCAGACUCACAGUUCUUACUCAAAGCACAGGUAAAUGUCAUCAGCUCAGAAAACACAAAGGAUUCAAUAUCUGUCAUUUGUUUGGCAUAUUCUCACCUCACUUGUAAAAGCCAAUUCUUAUCUGUUAGAAUGGGAAAUGAUCUUUCUAAACACAAAGUGAAUGUAAAUAGAUACCUGUGAGCUCGUCUGUGCAGUUGUUUCUUCCUGGUUAUACUGGUCUAAUGAGAUGAUUCAUAUUAAACCAGGGUGGACAUUCUGAUUUUAGGUGAAGACUGGAUCUUGUCAGAAUAGCUUAAAGAAUAUGCAGCAAUAUACAGUAAAAAAGAAAGAUCUUGAUUUCAGACACAAAGUGUCCUCCUGGGAACUACUCCUUGUUUAACUAAAGAGGUUCAAAGUCUCUCCCUUUCUAUUAUAACUAUCCCAUGUUGAUCAGCCGAGUUUGAGAGGCUGAUCCCUGCUGCAUGACAUUUGCCUUCAUUUGAAAAGAUGCCAACUCAGCUGACAAGUAUUGUGACUGUAAUGCCUUAAACAUUAACUAUUUCACUUCUUAACAAAGCACACAAGGAAAUCAAAGGACCAGAGAGCCCGAAGAAGCACUUCCCAGAAUACAGAGCGAGCUUUGCUGCUGCUAUGCAUAAAAUGAAUAUAUUUAAGCCUACCUACAGCUAAACUGGAAGGAAGUCAGAGGGUGGGCACCAGAUGAACUAAUUUUUAUGAAAAGGAACUUUGAGAGAUCAAGUUGCUGAGAACAGUUUGUCUCAAAGUAUGACAAGGGAAAAGGAUGAUAAAGGAUGCAGGGACAGGUAAUCUGCUGAAUUCAUUGCACUGCACAGAAAUUAUCCCACGACAAACUCACUAUCUGUUGAUGAAAAAGAAGUUUCAAAAUGACAGAAGUAGGUAGUAAUGACUGCUGUGGAUGAACUAUAUUCUGUGGUUUUGGAGGAAUUCUGGGAGAAGCCUUCUGUGAGAGGUUCAUGAAAUAAUUACUGCCUGCUUUUUGAGCAUAAAGUGAUGUAAGAAGCAAAGCUGGAAAUGACCUCUUGAAAAGGGAAAACAUGUAUCAUCAACUAGAUCUGAACCUAGCCAUCUCCAGCUUUCCAGAGCCAUCACAACAUGUUCUCCAGUGCAGAGUAUACCUGGCACACAUAAAUCCUCACAAAAUGGAGCAAAUCCAGCCUAUUGUACUGUAAAGAUUUCCCAUGCAACUGCCUGAGAAGUGCACAUGGUCAGCAACAAGCCAAAAUUACUCUGGUCACAGAGUUAAUUAAUUAAUUUCUCUCCUAAUUGUCCCCAAUCAAGGCAGGGCUGAUCAUUGUUCUUAGAGUUAAAAAUUAAGAUUCUAGCUCCCAUGACACAUGCCAGAUCAGCAGGAAAUCAACACAGCUCCUUACAGCAUCUGUGAAAAUCUAGAAACUCUGGAUGGAAAAGGCCUAUUAAAUCAUCUCAGUGUGUCUGGGUCCAAGAUUGUUCCUAGAACUGGUUAUAUAUUUCUCAGCACCCCAGGAAAGCUUGGCCACAGCUAGCCAUUUGCAGCAUGAAGCUGCAACAGCUCAGGGCUCCAGGUAUGAGCAGGGGUACAGAAAGCCUGGAAAGAGAAGUUUUGUUGAUGACCACAACCAAAUUAAGCUAAACAGAUGCACUGUUUUGGGAUUAGUUGUCUUAAACAUUUCUUUUAAAUUAGACAGGACAAGGUAUGUGCCUUUUAAAAUAAACUGAAAUGGGCAGAAUUCAUAUCAGACAAUGACCAGUUUUUUAUGUAAGAUGCACUGGCAAACCCAGUUAUGGUGCAGUGAAAUUCUCCCUCUGGUCAGAUCCUUAAAGACAUUUUCUCCUAGAGCAUUCAGAAUCAAAUGUGCAUUUAACUUUUCUUUCCAUUUCACACUCCAUUUCUAGUGAUUAAUACUUGUAUUCUAGAUGGAUGAAAGCUGAAACAGAUGUUAUCCACUCACAAUGCAGUCCUGAUAACCCUGAGCUAGAGGCUGAAAUCCUUAGCAGAUUAGCAACUGAAAUAAAAAAUGGAUAAGUAAAGUGGGGAGUACGGCUGAACAAACUCUUAUAGGUUUUAUUUCUGUGGAUAACAAUGCACAGAGGCUAUGUAAUCUCUAUGCUGAUCUGCCAGAGGAAAGAUUAAAUGGCAAAAUUCCAGCACUGAAACUACAAGUCUUCUCUGCUCUACUCCCCCAGUGAGAACACCAAUUAUAUUAGCAGAAUAUCACUGUGUACACUGUACUAUGUUGAUAAGAAUGUGGAGUUUUCAGCUAAUUUUCCUCUUGUUUUAACCAAGUAAGUUUUUCUGAUACAUUCCUAUGAGUUUAUGGCAUUUCUGCCAUUAGAAGUACUUGCAGCCACUUUGUGGUUCAUCUGGUGCUGAGCAGGUUAGAAAAAAUAUUUGAAUUUUCACUGAAGUGAAACUGUGACUGGCUUUUAUCAAACAAGAAGACACAAUUCUUCAUGACUUCGGAACAUUUUUUCGUAAUUCUUGAUUCAAAUUUAGGAAGUAUGUUGUAGCAAUUAACCUGACAUUGCUUUGUCAGGGAAAAAAAUAUUCUCCCUCCCUUGUUCUUUGCCUCAGAGAACUACAAUAUGUCAAAAAGCUGUGUUGUAUUAAUCUAUAGAAAAGACAAACCAAUUCAGCUGAGAACAUGCUAUUGGAAACUAGAGGAAAGGAGGAGGUCUGCAACAUCAGUACCCUGAAGAGCAGAGAACUGGCUAGAAAUCUACCAACUAUGAAGCUCAACAUCAUCUAACCCACCCUUUUUUUUUUUUCCUUGUUUUUAUUUUUUUCUUUUUUAAAGACCCUCCAAUUACUUUCUUUAAAGCCCAGGAAUGGGAACAUGGAUGCAAUAAUCUAGUCCAUUACCCUGCCUCAGACAGUAGCAGAUGUUUCUGGGGAAGGAACCAACAACCAGCAAUAGACUGGUGUAAGAUAAUCUUACCCCCCAUAUCAGAUCAAAUCACAGCCUAGUUUUCAGGAGUUAAGAGACUGGCUAAAAGCAAAGCAUGUAAAAUCCUUUUGAGAGGGUUUUCUACUCUGGCCACAUCACUGAUGAAUUUCUUUCCAAUAUCCGUCAUGGGGAGGAGUAUCCUUCAUAUAUCUGCUUUAUGUAUCAGAGCAAGUCCCCUAAAAUAUUUAACAUUGGAGAAAAGAUGCAAUACAGUAACUUAAACCACCAUUUCCAACUGGAAAGAAGGACACCCAGAUUGCUGUGUAUAACUUGUUCUUUGUGGAAUUCACAGUACAAGCUGCUUGAGGACUCUUACAUCAUUGCCAGAUCUGUGCUACUUCCAGGUCUAUCGAUAAUGCAUAAUGAAUCAUAGCAAAGCAAUUGGAAAUCCUGGCUCUUCCUCCUAUUCUUAAGAAAAGGCCUAAACACCUAGACAAUAAAUUAUCUUAAAUUAUAUUAUUUAAAAUUAUAUGUUAUUUAUAAUGGAACAUUGACAAAGAUAUAGAGCAAAGAGCAAGAAGAUGAACACAAUCUUUUAAAGGUAUGUUAUAAAGAAACACCUCCAAACUUACGAAUCCCUUCCCACCACCACCUCCCAAGAAUGUUUUCAUUUUGUCACAGAAUGUAGGAUGACUUAGAUGAGGAAUAACACAACAUUGCAAAUUGAAGGUAUUUAUUCUGUGAUGCAAAAUUCUCCAGAUCUUUAGUCCUCAGAAGGCACAGGAUUCUGUGACUCCAAAUUGAUUCUAACCUCCAGCCUCCACCUCCUGAGGCUGCAGUUAAGAUCCCAGUUAAAACUUACUAACCUACACCUUUCCUGGCUCUUCAGUGACACCUUCUGGGACUAAAAUAGAUCAAAUCAGUCUUAGUUUUUCUGCAGCUCUUUUUACCUGUAAAUAGGAGUCGAGUGAGAUUUUUGGAAGCUAGUUGUGGAGAAAUGGUGAGCCCACAAAAAAUGCUAUGCAAAUACAGCUGCCUGGCCCUGAAAAGCACAAUCUCUUUGGAGACUGGGCAGGAGAUGAGUCCCAGCUGGCCACAAAUCUGUAAGUUUUCACUUCUCCCAACACAUAUUUUCAUUUCCUGAAAUUGCUAACUGAGGAGAAAAAAAAAAUCACACUUGAACAGCUGGAUCUUCCUUAUAAGAGCAGUAAGGAUGAAGGUGGAAGUUUAUAUUGAAAUAUCUUACUUUUAGUGACAGCGAUGUUAUCUUUGCUUGAAGGCAGGUUUUAGAUGCAUCUGUGGUUGGACUCCAGGGCACAACUCUUGUAUUUCACUCUGGCAGCAUUAUAAAGGGCUGGACUGCAAUUCCCACUCCCAAGCAACCCCAGUCAUAAAGGAUGGGGCACAUAGAGAGGUUCCCAGAGCUGCAGGGGGAAAGACACCUUUUUAUCCACUCUCAGGGGAACAUGCUGGGAAGACAAGGAGGCUUUGCUAGGUAGGAUAUUAAGUCAGUGGGGCUGGAGCUUAGCUGAGAAAAUGAGCAUGUUUAGCAGAGGUCUGAUCCAGACUACUCACACAUGUGCAACCCCAGAAUUCAGUGUUACUGUGCAAAUUUACUGCCACUCAGAAAAGUAAAAACAUCUCAUUUUCUUCCAUGCACAGUCUAUUGCAAAUAAAUGUAUCUUUGAUCACACUGUGCUCCAUUGAUGAUCCAUCUAGUACUUUUUGGUAUUUCCAUCCUGUAUGCCCCAGCCUAUUUAUUAAUCUUUAGCUUUUUACUAUCCAAUGAGAUAUCUUGGGCAACAGUUCUUUAUUUGUUUUGCAGCUACUGUUUCACAAAGAAAACACACAGUGAGUGAAAAAAAUUAUUUCAAAUCUGAGAUGGUCUUCAACACAAAACAUCCCUUUGUCUGAACUGAACUAAAAGGAAGGCAGAAGAGCAUCCUCUCCACCCAGGGCAGCUGGCAGUACUGCAGGGGUGACACGGAUGCUGUGCUCUGUGUCUAAAGGCAGAAGGCACAUCUUCUAGACAUGCCUUAUGCAGUGAAACACAGCCCUCCAUAAGGAACCCACACCUGGAAGCAUUCAGAGUCAGGACCCUGCUGGGAAGGCUUGAAGGGAGGAUUUAAGAGAUUUGUAAGCUUUGUGCCAGCCUUAGAACUGAGAUAAAUAUCUCUCCAGAAUACAGAGCUCUCUUAUUUUUCCUAUAGCACUCUUCACCCUAAAAGAGCUUUUUAGAGAGGGAACAAUUUUGCAGCCUGAAUGAAAUUGGCUAGUACAAAUAGAAACUAAUGUAACUAAACCUUGGAAUUGCAAAAAGAAAAGAUAAAUGAGACCCCAAUGCUACCAACAAUACGUUUAGAUAGUUUUCAUGUGGGACUGUUAACAAUAGAUGCUUUUCAAGAAUAAAUCCUUAUGCUUUCAAGACAUAUGUCUUUUCAAUCACCAGCUCUUUUAAGAGGUUCACAAUAAAUGAGUGCAAAGCAAAUUAAUGGAGAAUGUAAUGUCAUCACUUAACAUUCCUGAUAUUGAU
This is a long non-coding RNA of Parus major (Great Tit), 5512 nucleotides long. RefSeq lists it as uncharacterized. The transcript is spliced from 3 exons. NCBI's taxonomy places the organism in Eukaryota, Metazoa, Chordata, Aves, Passeriformes, Paridae. The record is from RefSeq and is a predicted model, not a curated record.